GAGUUUGAUCUUGGCUCAGGAUGAACGCUGGCGGCGUGCUUAACACAUGCAAGUCGAACGAUGAUCCCAGCUUGCUGGGGGAUUAGUGGCGAACGGGUGAGUAACACGUGAGUAACCUGCCCUUGACUCUGGGGAUAAGCCUGGGAAACUGGGUCUAAUACCGGAUAUGACCUUCCAUCGCAUGGUGGUUGGUGGAAAGCUUUUGUGGUUUUGGAUGGACUCGCGGCCUAUCAGCUUGUUGGUGAGGUAAUGGCUUACCAAGGCGACGACGGGUAGCCGGCCUGAGAGGGUGACCGGCCACACUGGGACUGAGACACGGCCCAGACUCCUACGGGAGGCAGCAGUGGGGAAUAUUGCACAAUGGGCGCAAGCCUGAUGCAGCGACGCCGCGUGAGGGAUGACGGCCUCGG
RNAcentral lists this ribosomal RNA (410 nucleotides) under uncultured microorganism. RNAcentral's name for it is "bacterial SSU rRNA". It matches the Rfam family "Bacterial small subunit ribosomal RNA", at positions 9 to 420 of the family's 1533-position model. The record is from RNAcentral.